Molecule: ribosomal RNA, 453 nt
Filed under: uncultured bacterium
Lineage: Bacteria
Description: bacterial SSU rRNA
Rfam family: Bacterial small subunit ribosomal RNA
Source: RNAcentral
UACGAAGGCAGCAGUGGGGAAUAUUGCACAAUGGGCGCAAGCCUGAUGCAGCCAUGCCGCGUGUAUGAAAAAGGCCUUCGGGUUGUAAAGUACUUUCAGUCGUGAGGAAGGUGUUAAGGUUAAUAACCUUAGCAAUUGACGUUAGCGACAGAAGAAGCACCGGCUAACUCCGUGCCAGCAGCCGCGGUAAUACGGAGGGUGCGAGCGUUAAUCGGAAUUACUGGGCGUAAAGGGCACGCAGGCGGUUAAUUAAGUUGGAUGUGAAAUCCCCGGGCUUAACCUGGGAAUGGCAUUCAAGACUGGUUAGCUAGAGUCUUGUAGAGGGGGUUAGAAUUCCAUGUGUAGCGGUGAAAUGCGUAGAGAUGUGGAGGAAUACCGGUGGCGAAGGCGGCCCCUGGACAAAGACUGACGCUCAUGUGCGAAAGCGUGGGGAGCAAACGAGGAUUAGAUACC